This 1373-nucleotide ribosomal RNA is filed under the name uncultured bacterium. RNAcentral's name for it is "bacterial SSU rRNA". It matches the Rfam family "Bacterial small subunit ribosomal RNA", at positions 28 to 1381 of the family's 1533-position model. The record is from RNAcentral.
GAUGAACGCUGGCGGCGUGCCUAAUACAUGCAAGUCGAGCGAACAGAUAAGGAGCUUGCUCCUUUGACGUUAGCGGCGGACGGGUGAGUAACACGUGGAUAACCUACCUAUAAGACUGGGAUAACUUCGGGAAACCGGAGCUAAUACCGGAUAACAUAUUGAACCGCAUGGUUCAAUAGUGAAAGGCGGCUUUGCUGUCACUUAUAGAUGGAUCCGCGCCGUAUUAGCUAGUUGGUAAGGUAACGGCUUACCAAGGCAACGAUACGUAGCCGACCUGAGAGGGUGAUCGGCCACACUGGAACUGAGACACGGUCCAGACUCCUACGGGAGGCAGCAGUAGGGAAUCUUCCGCAAUGGGCGAAAGCCUGACGGAGCAACGCCGCGUGAGUGAUGAAGGUCUUCGGAUCGUAAAACUCUGUUAUCAGGGAAGAACAAAUGUGUAAGUAACUGUGCACAUCUUGACGGUACCUGAUCAGAAAGCCACGGCUAACUACGUGCCAGCAGCCGCGGUAAUACGUAGGUGGCAAGCGUUAUCCGGAAUUAUUGGGCGUAAAGCGCGCGUAGGCGGUUUUUUAAGUCUGAUGUGAAAGCCCACGGCUCAACCGUGGAGGGUCAUUGGAAACUGGAAAACUUGAGUGCAGAAGAGGAAAGUGGAAUUCCAUGUGUAGCGGUGAAAUGCGCAGAGAUAUGGAGGAACACCAGUGGCGAAGGCGACUUGUCUGGUCUGUAACUGACGCUGAUGUGCGAAAGCGUGGGGAUCAAACAGGAUUAGAUACCCUGGUAGUCCACGCCGUAAACGAUGAGUGCUAAGUGUUAGGGGGUUUCCGCCCCUUAGUGCUGCAGCUAACGCAUUAAGCACUCCGCCUGGGGAGUACGACCGCAAGGUUGAAACUCAAAGGAAUUGACGGGGACCCGCACAAGCGGUGGAGCAUGUGGUUUAAUUCGAAGCAACGCGAAGAACCUUACCAAAUCUUGACAUCCUUUGACCGCUCUAGAGAUAGAGUCUUCCCCUUCGGGGGACAAAGUGACAGGUGGUGCAUGGUUGUCGUCAGCUCGUGUCGUGAGAUGUUGGGUUAAGUCCCGCAACGAGCGCAACCCUUAAGCUUAGUUGCCAUCAUUAAGUUGGGCACUCUAAGUUGACUGCCGGUGACAAACCGGAGGAAGGUGGGGAUGACGUCAAAUCAUCAUGCCCCUUAUGAUUUGGGCUACACACGUGCUACAAUGGACAAUACAAAGGGCAGCUAAACCGCGAGGUCAAGCAAAUCCCAUAAAGUUGUUCUCAGUUCGGAUUGUAGUCUGCAACUCGACUACAUGAAGCUGGAAUCGCUAGUAAUCGUAGAUCAGCAUGCUACGGUGAAUACGUUCCCGGGUCU